UUUUAUCAGGUCAGAAUCUCGUUAAUGGUUUAAAAUUGGAUGACUCUUUUGUCAACCAAAACUAUGCCAACAUUCCUCCUUUGCCUCCUGAUCUCACUUUAGUCCCUAGUAAUUCAGUCUUGUCUUUGGCUAAGAGCCAAGAUGGGGAUUCACAUGAGGAUUUUGAUUUCAGUGACGUGGUUCUGAAGUACAUUAAUGAGAUGCUUAUGGAAGAAGAUAUAG
RNAcentral lists this unclassified non-coding RNA (222 nucleotides) under Hevea brasiliensis (rubber tree). The record is from RNAcentral. Lineage: Eukaryota; Viridiplantae; Streptophyta; Magnoliopsida; Malpighiales; Euphorbiaceae.